Long non-coding RNA from Bombus pascuorum, 1615 nucleotides. RefSeq lists it as uncharacterized. The record is from RefSeq and is a predicted model, not a curated record. Lineage: Eukaryota; Metazoa; Arthropoda; Insecta; Hymenoptera; Apidae. The transcript has 2 exons.
CUUCCCUACCGUGACUUUUUCUCAUCAAGAAGACGGAUUACGAAUCGCUAUUUUCCUCAGCAUUACACAGAGGCAGCUCUUGGAGGCUCCACCAGAUGUGAUUUCAAAAUACCUUACAACUUCGAUGACUGUAAUGGCUAAAAAAAUUCUCAGAUUUCAAAAAUUCGUUUUUCGUUAAAUCUUAUCCCAAAGAAACGCGAAAUUGAAUUAUUACAAAGAUACACGUAACUGAUUGCAAAUUGGUUCCAGUUAUCUCGAGACUAUCAGAGUACUAAUCUUCGACUGCGAUGACUAACAAUGAGCUAGACGUACGUCGCGGUUGUCGGAAGAACAUUGACUCAGCGUCGAGACACGUACGUUGCGAGCCAUUCGAAAUUCCACGAAUAUUCCUCGCCGCGUCGUAAAAGCCGCCAAACACGCUCAAUAUUUUUCACCUUACCCUCUCGCCCCCUGAUACUCGUGCAUCUUUACCGCCACGUGAUCGCGGACUUUCCCUCUCCAUCAUCGGUUACGGGUUUAGAAUAACCCAAAGCUCCGCGGUUCGGACCAUUCGUGAGUUCGAUCCCGAGUUGUUCGCGUCUCCUUUCUUCACGGAAACUUCCUUUGGGAACCGACUGGCUAAGAGAAACCGACGCGCAACUUUGAGUAAUGGAGGUCGCUAAAGUGAACGAAAACGCUGGUAGCCUUGUCGAGCAGUCGAUGAACAUAACGGCGGAAUCAAAAUCCGUCUCCACCAUGAAAUCCAUGGAGAGCGUGCAGACCAAGUCCGUCAUCGAGUCGUCGACAUCCAUCAAGUCCGUGACCUCGUCGUCGACGAGGGCGCAGCAGUCCAUGGAGUACGAGGAAACGAUCGAGUACAGCGACUAGAUCCAUUAUCGUCACACCAAAUCACAAUUAAAAAACAACAAACGGAUACCCUUUUGAUGUCGUGCCACGCAGGGGAGAGUUGACACGCGGUAUUUUUGACUCAGCUCCAGCUUCGAUCCACGUACAAUAUUAGUGCGUUCUCCCGAUCUGUUCCAACAUUUCCAUGUGAAAAAUUCGAAAAUGAAAUAUCCGAUGGAAGACACUCGAGAAGCUAGUCGCGUUCUUGUCGACUGCGUCACGCCAGCAUGGUUCUAUCGAAACGAGAUUCAAAGGAAAUACGGCUAAUGCCAGGCAGAGAAUCUUUCCUCGUGUCUUGCAUGUUGAUCUUGGAUCGAGUCAGGAAGAACGUGCGACCGUGCUACGGAAGCGGUAGAGAACAGAAGAAAGAGUACACGAGUCGAGUCGAAUAGCUGAUCAACGAGUCAAAGCGUUCACGGCCUUUCGAAGUGGCUUUCAAAAAUAACCACUGUCUUUUACACCGCAUACCUGAUAAUGAAAAUAAGAAAAAUAAGAAAAUGAAGGAACGUUUGGAAGCCUCGACCAUGAGCUCUGGCUCUCCUCCAAUCGGCGCUGUUCCCCGCCAAAUAGCAAUUCGCCCUUUCCUUUUCUUCCUCUAAGGAUCGUCCCUGAUCGUAUCACCGAUCCUCCUUUAAAUACGCAAGCCUCUCCAUCAUUGUCACGACUUGAUCCCACAUUUCGUUGCAAACAUUCGAUUAUCUUUGUAUAAUAAAGUUUCUAAGAUAUUGUU